This 7057-nucleotide long non-coding RNA is filed under the name Marmota monax (woodchuck). The record is from RNAcentral. Lineage: Eukaryota; Metazoa; Chordata; Mammalia; Rodentia; Sciuridae.
GUCCACACCCUGCCCACCCUCCCCUGCCUCUCAGGAGAGCAGCCAGCCGCUGGUCCUGGGGCAAGAGCCUCAGCCUCCGCGUAGGAAAGCAAGUCUGCCUUGUGGUCAGGAGCCUUGAGCUCAGCACUGAACAAGAGAGACACUUCACAUUUGGUGUCAUUACAGAGAAUGACUAAAUGCUUUUUUAAGUCCAUGUCUGGAUUCUGAAAUAAAUACCGUGUCCCAGGCUGGGUAGAGCAGCUGCCUCGGGAAGUAGGGGCAUGCCCAAAGCCCUCAACAGCCAGAGGCACGGCAGCACCACACAGCAGGAAGCCUUCACCAAGGUGCCGAUCAAGCUCACUUAUUCCUGGGUACGACAGACUCCAUAGAAAAAGACACAGAGGGUCCCAGCAGCUCCAAGUCAAUGGCAAGUGAGCACAGGGUCUAGCAGUUUUCAGAUUCAACAGUAGCCUGGCAAAGAGCAAGGGCCAGGCAGCCCUUCUGGGGUAGUGGUCAGAGCCCUGGUGGGGCUAACUGGGGACUGGAAAUGUCUGGACACUAGCUACAGGGGACAGGAAGAGCAUUCUGAGUGACUGAAGGAAGACCUUGAUGGGGAAGGGUGGAGUCUUGUUGAAAAUAAAGGCUUUGGAAGACAGGUCGCCAGGGGCGCUUAAAUUCAGCUCUUUGUGCUCUCCAGGGUGGGGACCCAGGCAAAGGUGCUAGCGGUUGAGGGUGUUCCUGCCAUGAGGCCCAUCAGGAGGGCCACUCUGGGCUGCUCAUACUGGGGUCCCGUCCACUCUGUCUUCUAGACCGCGGGUUCUGAGUGCCUGCCCCCACCCUGUAGGCCAGAGCACAAGGACUGCGCCAACCAGGGGACGCGGGGACUGGGGAGUCCUGCUCCUGGCUCCACUCUGCUUUCCUUCUAUAACGGGGUCCCGUCCACCCCGAGCCAGGGGCGCUAGCAUAGAAAGUCUCCCCUGGAGCCCCGUCUUGGUGCAGGUGGGUGGCAGACGGGGUCCCCUGUGGUGGCAACCUGGGGCAGUGUCUGGGGCUCUGGCCGCCACCCCCUCUCUCCUGCCCACCUCCUGCCAGUGCUUAGACACAGGGUGCCUGACACAGACCACCAGACCCCAGGUGUCCCCAGGGUCCUACCCAGCCUCCAGCGCAGGCAGCCACCCGUCCCCUCCCCUCCCAGAGUCCUCCCAGUCUUCUGUCAGAAGCCCAGGCUCUGCCCAGUGACUGGUUUAGAGGCAUUUCCCCUUCUUGCUCUUUCAGCAGGAGCGAGCUUGCGGGGCUCAGCGUCAGCCUGCCUGAGACCCGGGCAGGAAGGGGUGGUGGCUGCCCAGGCAGAGAGGGUGGGUACCUCCAGGGAGAAACGGCUUGCUUCACCCAGGAAGUGGACUGGGGUUGGCAGGCGGGCGGGGCAGGUGUCCCGUGGGUACCCACAGGGGGACAGACGCUGUCCUCAGUGCUGGCCUGCAGUCCCCUCUCCUCCCACCUCUCUGGACCCCCUCCCCAUGCAGCGGCCACAGGAGGCCACUUGCCCACCUCAGGCUGCUGCAGAUUGCAGAAUCAGCUGAAGGACCCCUGUGCUCCCCCUUCCCCUUAGCCCUCCAGCCGUAGUGUAGCCACCAGAGUCCCAAGGUCCCUGCAGGGUCAGAGGCCCCCAAAUUCUAAAACUCAACCACUGGUUCACUUGGCCUGGUCCUCAGUCUCUAUGCACCAGACCCUCGAUCCCCCAUGUUCCUGACACUGACCCAGGACACCAAGGUCAGUAGGGUGGGCUGGGCUGCAGCUCCUCAGGAUCUGCCCAACGGUGGCUCAGUUAGAGGGGGCACCCCACCCGGAAGUGUCCCAGAGGCAGUUCAAUCCCACGGCUUCCCCAGGUACCCCUUCCCAGGCUUGCCAUGGACGGCCCCCUGAGAACCUGCCAGUGCCCAGCAGCACCGGGGGCCCCUUCCCACCAUCCUCGCUAGAAAGUAACUCCUAGACUUGGGUUGGGGCCUGCUUGGCAGAGGAGCUGGAGGGGAGGAAGCCCCCUGCCUGCUGGAGGUCCCGAGCACGCAGCCAGGGCCCCCUCCAUGGGGCUGGACGGGGCUUCCACCUGCUCCUGUUCUCAGUCCUGCAAAAGCCCGGGCUUCUCCCAGGAUCCUCUCCUGGGAGGGAGGUGAGUCAGUCCCCAGCCCACCCACGGCCUUGGGUCCCCAGGAGGGUGGGAUCCCUGUGCAGGGAGCCCCACCUGUGCCAGGUGCAGCGGGCCCCACAUCCUCAGAAACACUCCUCAGGGCCGAGUCCGUCUCAGCAGGAGGUGACCGGCUCCCAGCCUCCCUUCCUGCGGCCUUCUGCAGGCGGUGACCAUCUUUCCAUUCCACACCCAGAGGCUGCUCUCCACUGGCCUGAGGAUCCUGCUUCCAGCCGCUGUAUCUCAGGUUCCCACCCAAGUGGGGGGCUCAGUGGGGUGCACAGGACAGGGGCUUGGAGCCCCGUGGAGAGGGGCUGGGGACGAGGGCCACCGUCUCACCCUAUCAGGUGUGUUCCAGGUAAAUGUCAUCAACAAUGCCCAGCAGCUCUGCAGGGGAAUCAUGGGGAGCUUCUGGGCGCCCUGAAACCCCAGGCGCCCUCUGCCGAGGAGUCUCCCCUUGGCUCUGCCCCCAGGGCAGCACCUCUGGCUCCAGCCUCUACCCCCGGCACCACCCCAGAGCCAACCACAGCGAAGGCACUUUGCCCCUGCCCCCCUGGCCUCCUGUGUGUCCUCCUGAACCUGAAUGUGGACACUGUGUCCCUCCUCCUACAGAGACAGAAAAGGGACCCUCGGGCUUCAAGAGAGCACCCAGGUACCAGGAGCCCCGGUGGUUCCUAGUGCUUGUCUUGGGCAAAGUCCCCUGAGUCCAGGGCUGGGCCUGCACUGGCCCCACAGCCCAGUCAGUCUGUCUGUCUCUCUGGCCCCUCAUCACAGGACGCACAGACUUGUAAGGGCUUAUUUUUCCUUGAAAUUGAAAUUUAUUUGGCUUUUGCCAGGUUGGCCGAGCUGCAGCAGGAUGAGAUGGGCACAGGUAGCCUUGGACAAGGACGAGCCCAACCUGGACCCUCCUGGGCUCCAUGCUCUGUAGCUGGCCCUGGCUCCUGACCCAGGCUCGGGCCUCAGCCCUGGACCUUAGCAGAUGGAGUCUGUCCCAGGAGCUCCGCUGAUGAGCCCCAACUGUCCACUUUUCCUUCUGCUGUGGGUGGGCAGGCCUCUGUCUGGUGGCCACUGCCCCACAGACUGCCUACAGAAGGACCCCUGGAGAGGGUUGGGGCACUGCUGACCACCCAUCCUGGAAGAGUCACUAAGUAGCUCGAGGGGGCAGGAGGACCUCGCAGUCGACCAGGCCCACUCCAGCCAGCCAUGGUCUUGCACACGGGCUGCCCAUUCUCCCCCACGCCCACCCAGGGGUGAGGCAGGCUGUGUGGGCUGGGCUUGCUGGGCAGCCCUGGGUAUCAGCCUGUCCUCUCUGGGCCUCAGGUGCCACCUCUCUCCACAGGGCAGGUUGGUGGGCCCAACCCUGGGAGUUUCGGGGACACCAGGGGUGAGGAGAGCUGAGCUCGGGGCUCUGUCCCCACCCCGUUCUGCCAAGUUAAUUCAGCCAUAAUAUGGGGCACCUGGUGGCCCCUCUCAGGGAGAAUUGAGCACCUGUUGAAGACGACGUGCCCGUCGAGGGGAGAGGAUGAGAGCGCAGAGCAUCCAGGGAAGGUUCUGGCCAGGCGGGAAGGUCCACAGGUCUCUCCUCGUCCCCCACCUCCCAGGGCCCCCAACUCAGCAGGGCUCCCUGUGCCCCCAUCCAGGGUGCCCCACCCACACGGCCUCCGCAGCCCUGCCUGGUCCACGUGAGAUGGUGCAGAGUCCCCCAUCUGGCUCUGGGGGAGAGGCCACCCCACACGGGCCACACAACCAAGGCCUGAUGACUGGAAGGCUCCCUGGGGCCCAGGAGGUGCGUCCACUGCAGAGAAGGGUCCACCAUGGAGGAGGGGCUGCUCUGCACGGGAUGAGCAGAGUGGGCAACAAGGACGCAGGUGCUGCAGCCCUGGGCUCUGGGGCUCAGUGACAGGCAGUUGUCCCUUCCCAGACGAGGACCCCCCCAGCUUCAGCUCCACCAGAUUAGGCAGACCCUGUGCCCUGCUGUGCCCACUGCCACCCUGUCGGUCACUGCUCACAUCUGCCCAGGUUGGCUCUGGCGAGACCCACUCCACCCAGGACCAUCCCAGGCAGAGCCAGGGCAGCCCUGUCGGCCAGCCUGGCACCCAGCCCACAGCAACCUCCCAAGUGUUUGCUGGGUAAUCAAUGAAUAAAUGAGGCCCCUCCUGGGUGCUCAGCAAACACUGUCUGAACAGGAGCGUUGCCACCAAUGUGGCCACCGUCGGUGCACACAGGUCGUAAGAGGCCGAGUGCUGAUGGUCCACGAGGUUAGAGCCCUGAGCGCAGGGGCCCCCUGAGCACAGGGGCCAGGGAGAAGAGACUGCUGAGAGCCAAGCCAGACGCCCCUGCCCUCUGCGGCAACUCUGCACAUCAUGGGUCCUUGGGGUUCAAUGGAGCCUCUUUCUCUCUCUGUGACUCUGGAAGAGUCACUUAGCCUCUCUGAGCCUCCUACUGUGCACUGGUAUGAGGAGUGGAUUCAGGAGUCAGGUGAAAAGUGUGAACUGAAAGUCAUGGAGCGCAUCCCCCGAGCCUGGCCACUUAUAGCCCUCCUGUGGCGGUCAUGUGCACCGGGGCUGCCUCUGCAGAGAGGGCCCUGCAGGGGACAGCUGGCUGGGGGUCCCAGGCCUAUGGGUCUCAGCCUUCCCUGACAUAAGCGUCCUCAUCUCUGCUGCCCACACAAACCCUGGUCAGACACGGCCCUGUCUGGCCUCACCCCAAGGGCCCAGGUGACAGGCCCAGGUGACCGUCCACAGCAGGUGAGCAGGUGGAGACCAGGACCCGGGAGGGUGGUGAUGGCCCAGCUGACUCUGUCCCUUGUCUGACACUAUCCUGCAGCCAGUCCCUGGACGGUUUCUCAGAUGAGCAAAUGGAGAGCAGGGUUGGGGAGCCCAGCCGCUGGCCGGCGCUGGCCAGGGGCAGAGGAAAGGCUCCAGCUGGGUGUGGACACAAAGGGGUGGGGAGGAUUGGUGUCCCAGGCUGGGGCCACCUGGCCUGGCCUCAUCUGUGGUCACUGGGCCCCACCCUGUCGGGAUGGAGUCCUGGGCCCGUGGUCCCCUGUGGCUGCUGUGACCCUCGAGUCUCUGGCCCUGGCUGAGGGGUGUCAGGCCUGUGAAGCACAAAGCCCUGCGCAGACUGGCCUCCACCAGAGGGCCCGGCCGGGCAGGGGGCAGGGCCUCCCCCAGGGCUCUGGCUCUGUAUCGUUCACUGUUUCAUUCUCAACCGAGGGACAAGGCCAUCAGGGCCCAGAGGGGACGAGGUGGCUGGGAGCACCCGGACCCCACGGAGGGAGGACUGGUCAGUGGGGAAGGGAGCUCCUGGGGAGGGUUUUGUGUCCCUGGCAGGGGGAGGCGGGGCCAGGGCCUCCAUCCUGAACAGGGACUGGGGACACCUUGGGUAACAGGAUCUGCUGGGGAAGGGCACCAGCACCUCAGCCUGCAGGCUGGAGACCAGGGCUGGGCCAGCCGUCCUCCCUGCCCAUGAGCAGCCCACCCCAGUGCCUCAUGAGAGUUGAGAACCAAGGCCCCACACUUGUGGCUACGCCAUCGGAUGUCUCCAGCCCUGGGGACCCCAGCUGCCACCUAUCGAGACCCCACCUACAGGUCUGUGCACGUCCCGUGAGGCCCUUGAGUUAAAGGGUGCUGGGGGCAGGGAGAGUGUGGCUAAGGGGUACAAGCCAUCAGCGACCCGGGGAAACCUGAUGGCAGAUUUCACAUAAGUCACCCGCAGACCUGAAAACAUGGACUCACUUUGUCAAGUGGCUCUUGUCUGCUGGCAAAGAGCCAGGGCACAGGGACCGCUGGUUGCUGGAGGUGUGUGCAACCCCAGGGUGGCCAGAGGCUCUAGGUCAGCUCUGUGCCCGGCUCCUGAGGCCCUGAGGUUGCCCUCAUGACCAUUGCUGCCAGGACCAGCCCAGCACCCAGUUACUCCUCGUGAUGACCACAGCGGGUGGGCUGCUGGCCCCCUUUCCUGGGCUAGGAAACUGAGGCCCAGGGGAGGUGGUCUACGAGGUCACACAGCUGUGGUUGACCACCUGGAUUCAGGUGUGGUGAGCUGACAGCUCAAAGACAGGUGUUUCUGGAAAGACUGGCCAACUCGGGGCCUCCACCCAGAGAGAGGGCAGCACUGAGGACAGGGCAGGAGAUGGCAUGGUCCCCUCUGACCUGCCCUGAUACAGGAUGCCCAAGGCCAGCUGUUGGCCUGCCACACCCCAGACAACCCGAGAGAGAGAGAGAGAGAGAGAGAGAGAGAGAGAGAGAGAGAGUGUUGAGCACAGACGGGGGAGCCUGAGGUCAGCCUGACCCUGCAGUCUGCCCCGUCUGUGCUGGGAGGACGAGGACACCUCGGCAGCCCUGCCUGCCCCAGCAGGCCCUCAGUGAGAGGCGGCCACUCCACAGGGAUCCUAGAGGGGCCCUCUGCACAGGGGGCCAGCUCAGUGGCCCCAGCCAGGAGGUGGACACUGGGGUGGGGGUCACUGAGCAGGGCCCCUUCCUGGAGGGCGGUGAAGAUGGACACCGGGGUCCACCCGUCAGCUGAGGCAUUGGUCAAUCCAGAGGCUCAGCCCUGACCCUGGGGCCGCUGCGGAGGGCCAUUCCCCUAACACGGCCCUCAACUAUCUCUGGGCCUUGAACUUUCUAUUCUGUUUUGCAAUCGGCUCAGGAGGCGGCCUUUCUAAACUCCCUCCUUAUCGCUGGGAAACUUCUCGCCCACAAUAGCUGACUGUGCUGCUCUCCUGGGCGCGGCCGAGUCCCGCCCACCCCCUGUUCUUCGGUAGCUCGGGCACUAUAAUGGGUCCUAUUGUGGUCGGUCUGCAAAGCUCCGGUGUGGCCCUUGAGUUAAAGGGUGCUGGGGGCAGGGAGAGCGUGACUAAGGGGGUACAGGCCAUCAGCAACCCAGGGGAGCCUGACG